RNAcentral lists this microRNA precursor (100 nucleotides) under Pelobates cultripes (western spadefoot toad). Lineage: Eukaryota; Metazoa; Chordata; Amphibia; Anura; Pelobatidae. The record is from RNAcentral.
CUCUCUGAUGUGCUCCCUCGCAGGCUGUUUACUGAUGACGUCAUAUUCCGGCUCCCGCGGCAUCAGUAAACAGCCUGCGAGGGAGAACAUCAGAGAGAUC